Molecule: ribosomal RNA, 313 nt
Filed under: Escherichia coli
Lineage: Bacteria; Pseudomonadati; Pseudomonadota; Gammaproteobacteria; Enterobacterales; Enterobacteriaceae
Description: bacterial SSU rRNA
Rfam family: Bacterial small subunit ribosomal RNA
Source: RNAcentral
GGGGGACCUUCGGGCCUCUUGCCAUCGGAUGUGCCCAGAUGGGAUUAGCUAGUAGGUGGGGUAACGGCUCACCUAGGCGACGAUCCCUAGCUGGUCUGAGAGGAUGACCAGCCACACUGGAACUGAGACACGGUCCAGACUCCUACGGGAGGCAGCAGUGGGGAAUAUUGCACAAUGGGCGCAAGCCUGAUGCAGCCAUGCCGCGUGUAUGAAGAAGGCCUUCGGGUUGUAAAGUACUUUCAGCGGGGAGGAAGGGAGUAAAGUUAAUACCUUUGCUCAUUGACGUUACCCGCAGAAGAAGCUCCGGCUAACU